AGCAGCCGCGGUAAUUCCAGCUCCAAUAGCGUAUAUUAAAGUUGUUGCAGUUAAAAAGCUCGUAGUUGAAUUUCGGGAUCAAUCUAUCGGUCGUGCAAUAGUACGUACUGAUUUUAUUGAUUCCUCCCUUCUGAUGAACUAUGAUGUCAUUAAUUUGGUGUCAUAGGGAAUCAGGACUGUUACUUUGAAAAAAUUAGAGUGUUUAAAGCAGGCUCACGCUUGAAUACAUUAGCAUGGAAUAAUGAAAUAGGACAUCCGAUUCUAUUUUGUUGGUUUCUAGGAUCGAUGUAAUGAUUAAUAGGGAUAGUUGGGGGCAUUAGUAUUCAAUUGUCAGAGGUGAAAUUCUUGGAUUUAU
Molecule: ribosomal RNA, 355 nt
Filed under: uncultured Glomus
Lineage: Eukaryota; Fungi; Glomeromycota; Glomeromycetes; Glomerales; Glomeraceae
Description: SSU rRNA
Rfam family: Eukaryotic small subunit ribosomal RNA
Source: RNAcentral